This 905-nucleotide ribosomal RNA is filed under the name Escherichia coli. RNAcentral describes it as "partial 23S ribosomal RNA". It matches the Rfam family "Bacterial large subunit ribosomal RNA", at positions 296 to 1212 of the family's 2925-position model. The record is from RNAcentral. Lineage: Bacteria; Pseudomonadati; Pseudomonadota; Gammaproteobacteria; Enterobacterales; Enterobacteriaceae.
AGCCCAGAGCCUGAAUCAGUGUGUGUGUUAGUGGAAGCGUCUGGAAAGGCGCGCGAUACAGGGUGACAGCCCCGUACACAAAAAUGCACAUGCUGUGAGCUCGAUGAGUAGGGCGGGACACGUGGUAUCCUGUCUGAAUAUGGGGGGACCAUCCUCCAAGGCUAAAUACUCCUGACUGACCGAUAGUGAACCAGUACCGUGAGGGAAAGGCGAAAAGAACCCCGGCGAGGGGAGUGAAAAAGAACCUGAAACCGUGUACGUACAAGCAGUGGGAGCCUCUUUAUGGGGUGACUGCGUACCUUUUGUAUAAUGGGUCAGCGACUUAUAUUCUGUAGCAAGGUUAACCGAAUAGGGGAGCCGAAGGGAAACCGAGUCUUAACUGGGCGUUAAGUUGCAGGGUAUAGACCCGAAACCCGGUGAUCUAGCCAUGGGCAGGUUGAAGGUUGGGUAACACUAACUGGAGGACCGAACCGACUAAUGUUGAAAAAUUAGCGGAUGACUUGUGGCUGGGGGUGAAAGGCCAAUCAAACCGGGAGAUAGCUGGUUCUCCCCGAAAGCUAUUUAGGUAGCGCCUCGUGAACUCAUCUCCGGGGGUAGAGCACUGUUUCGGCAAGGGGGUCAUCCCGACUUACCAACCCGAUGCAAACUGCGAAUACCGGAGAAUGUUAUCACGGGAGACACACGGCGGGUGCUAACGUCCGUCGUGAAGAGGGAAACAACCCAGACCGCCAGCUAAGGUCCCAAAGUCAUGGUUAAGUGGGAAACGAUGUGGGAAGGCCCAGACAGCCAGGAUGUUGGCUUAGAAGCAGCCAUCAUUUAAAGAAAGCGUAAUAGCUCACUGGUCGAGUCGGCCUGCGCGGAAGAUGUAACGGGGCUAAACCAUGCACCGAAGCUGCGGCAGCGAC